CCUUUCUUCUCAAGCCAUGCCUCUGCGAGAGGGAAAUCCAGUCUAGCAGCAGACACCAUCUGCUCGGUGACACAGCAUGACCCAGAUGGCACGAACACAUUCAGAAGGUCACAUGAACAAGAAACAAGCCCUUCUGGAAGAGGAGGAACUGACCCACGCAGACAACAAUUGUUGGAAGCUGAGUGGGAGCUGCUAUGUCACGUUGGCCUCCUUCACUCUCUUCACCAAGGCCACAUAAGCAUCAUAGCAGAGCUCAAUCAUACAACAGAGAGCCAUGGACCGAAGACAAGUAACUCUUGGAGAGCCCGUGAGAAGACUGUCCACAUUCCUGACAGCUCAUCUACUAAUCCCCAGAAAGAUAUGUGUACAUAGUUCACCUUCCCAAAAUAGUCACUCUUGAUUGUGGCUUUUAUUUCCUGGGUACAUUCAUGUUUACAGUUGUGAUUAAAAUGUUUUGC
This is a long non-coding RNA of Mus musculus (house mouse), 458 nucleotides long. RefSeq annotates it as RIKEN cDNA 2210409D07 gene. The transcript has 3 exons. The record is from RefSeq and is marked validated. Lineage: Eukaryota; Metazoa; Chordata; Mammalia; Rodentia; Muridae.